RNAcentral lists this long non-coding RNA (1080 nucleotides) under Cyanistes caeruleus (blue tit). RNAcentral's name for it is "lncRNA (ENSCCEG00000019954.1)". The record is from RNAcentral. Lineage: Eukaryota; Metazoa; Chordata; Aves; Passeriformes; Paridae.
UCCCGCUCCCCUCCCGGUCCCGCUCCCCAUGCCGGCCCCGAUUGCGGUUCCCCCCUCGCUCCCUCUCACCAUCCUGCCGGCAGUUGCCGUGGCAACGCGCGGCGCCGCCGGCCUCCAGGGCGCGGUUUCACUUCCGGGGAAUCGCCUCCGCUGAUUGGCCAAGAUGGUGAGCCGACCCCGACACGUGACCCAGGGUGGGCGGGUCCAGGGCCGCGUGACGUCACCGCGAGGGGGACUUUGAAAGAUGAUAUUUAAAAGCAUUUCUUGAAUCGUGACUUGUAAUUAAUGCAUUCGACUCACCUCCAAACACAAACCCCAGGUGGCAGCGUUUAAUUAAAAUUUUCUCUCCUUCACAGCUAUGACGAUGAAUCUCUAGCAGGUAUGGGAGAUACAGGCGCAGGGCGGAACACAAUAGCCAGAACAUGAACAUCACCAAAACAGAUGAUUCUGGCAGCAAAUAUCCACCUUGCCUGGUUCCAAGGCUGGCUUAGCAAGUCAUGGCAAAGCAUCCUGUUACUCUGCACACAGCCUAGAAUGGCAAAGGCCUGAUCUAAGGUGUAGAAGGGAGUCCCCCUGUGCAAAUCCUUCUUUGGAUACCUUGAGCCUGAGUCCUUGUAGCAGUUUGUCCUCAACCGAAAGCAACAAAACAACCAACAAUAAUAAUCAGUGUGCCUUCAAAGUGGGAUGUGAAAAGGAAGACAAAGUGAGAUGUAUCUUAAAUAACAGGUAAUUCUAAAUAGCCAGUAGCUUUGGAUGUAGAAGAUCCACCUGAUCUGCACUGCACUGAUUACACCUGUCUGAAUGCAGUGCUGCCUUAGGUCUGCCUGAAAAUGACCAAAGUGACUAUUUUCCUACACAGUAUAUCUUUAAAAUUCAUUAUUAGAAGACACUAAAAUACACUCUAGGCUUUGGCUUAAUUUAAGAGUUAGCUGUACCCUGCUCUUCCUUUAACAGAAGUGCCUUGUUUCCCUGGACAAGUUUCUGUGUGACUCACCAUUUCCACAACCUCAGCCUCACAUUCAUGAAUGUACCAAGGCUAUUGAAUAUUUAUCAGAUUUUGGACUUUUUUUUUUUUCCAUG